Molecule: ribosomal RNA, 1535 nt
Filed under: Salmonella enterica subsp. enterica
Lineage: Bacteria; Pseudomonadati; Pseudomonadota; Gammaproteobacteria; Enterobacterales; Enterobacteriaceae
Description: 16S ribosomal RNA
Rfam family: Bacterial small subunit ribosomal RNA
Source: RNAcentral
CACUGGUGAAGUUUGAUCAUGGCUCAGAUUGAACGCUGGCGGCGAGCCUAACACAUACAGUCGAACGGUAACAGGAAGCAGCUUGCUGCACAGCGACGAAGGUAGCGAGACGGGUGAUAUGUCUGGGAAACGCACCUGAUGGAGGGAUAACUACUGGAAACGGUGGCUAAUACCGCAUAACGUCGCAAGACCAAGAGGGGACCUUCGGGCCUCUUGCCAUCAGAUGUGCCCAGAACAGGUUACGCUUGUUGGUGGUAACGGCUCACCGAAGGCGGCAAUCUAGCUGGUCUGAAGGAUGACCAGCCACACUGGAACUGAACGGUCCCGGAACCACGGGAGGCAGCAGUGGGAAAUAUUGCACAAUGGGCGCAAGCCUGAUGCAGCCAUGCCGCGUGUAUGAAAGAAGACGCUUCGGGUUGUAAAGUACUUUCAGCGGGGAGGAAGGUGUUGGCGUAGUUGUAACGCAGCAAUUGGCAUUACCACCGAAAAAAGCUUUUCAGCUUAACUCCGUGCCAGCAGCGCGAAAGUAGCACGGAGGUGCAAGCAUUAUCGGGGAAGUACUGGGCGUAAAGCGCACGCGAGCGGUCUGUCCAAGUCCGGAUGGCAAUCCCGGAGCUCAACACAGGAACUUGCAUUUCAAAGCAGCGAGCAGGUCUUUAUAUGAGGGGUAGAAUUCCGGGUAGCCCAGCGGUGAAAUGCGUAGGAAUCUGGAGAAUACCGGUGGCGAAGGCGGCCCACGGACAAGGCGACGCUCAGGUGCAGCGUGAGGCAAACAGGAUUACCGUACAUUUAGUCACGCCAUGGCGGAAAUGUCACCAGAGGGGAUUUGUGCCCGCGAGGGGCGUGGCUUCACGGAGCUAACGCGUUAAGUAGACCGCACGGGGAGUACGGCCGCAAGGUUAAACUCAAAUAAUUGACGGGGGCCACACGAAGCGGUGAGCAUGUGGUUUGAAUUCGAUAAACGCGAAGAACCUUACGGUCUUAUCCACGGAAGAAUCCAGAGAUGAAUUUAUUGCCUUCGGGAACAGAAGACUUGAGUGCUGCAUGGCUGUCGUCAGCUCGUGUUGUGAAAUGUUGAGGUUAAGUCCGCAACGAGGCGCAACCCUUAUCCUUUGUUGCCAGCGGUCCCGGCCGGGAACUCAAAGGGAGACUGCCAGUAGGUAAACUGGAGGAAGGUGGGGAUGACGUCAGAAUCAUCAUGGCCUCCCGACCGAGGGGCUACACACGUGCUUACAAUGGCGCAUACAAAGAGAAGCGACCUCGCGAGAGCAAGCGGACCUCAUAAAAGUGCGUCGUAGUCAGUUGAGUCUCUGCCAGCUCGACUCGCGGAAUGAAUAGCUGGCAAACAAAUGGAUCAGGUACCACGGUGAUACGUUCCCGGAGCCCAGCACGCACCGCCCGUCACCAUGGGAGUGGGUUGCAAAAGUAGGUAGCAACGCUUCGGGAGGGCGCUUACCACUUUGUGAUUCGCCUUGACUGGGGUGAAGUCGUAACAAGGUAACAAUAGGGGAACCUGCGGUUGGAUCACCUCACUA